GAUGAACGCUAGCUACAGGCUUAACACAUGCAAGUCGAGGGGCAGCAGGGAUUUAGCUUGCUAAAUUCGCUGGCGACCGGCGCACGGGUGCGUAACGCGUAUCCAACUUUCCCGUUACUCUCGGAUAGCCUUCCGAAAGGGAGAUUAAUACGAGAUGGUGUUCUAAUUUCGCAUGUUAUUAGAACUAAAGAUUUAUCGGUAACGGAUAGGGAUGCGUGACAUUAGAUAGUUGGCGGGUAACGGCCACCAAGUCUACGAUGUCUAGGGGUUCUGAGAGGAAGGUCCCCCCANACUGGAACCGAGACACGGUCCAGACUCCUACGGGAGGCAGCAGUGAGGAAUAUUGGGUCAAUGGUCGGAAGACUGAACCAGCCAAGUAGCGUGAAGGAUGAAGGUUCUAUGGAUUGUAAACUUCUUUUAUACGGGAAUAAAACCUCCACGUGUGGGAGCUUGUAUGUACCGUAUGAAUAAGCAUCGGCUAACUCCGUG
This 489-nucleotide ribosomal RNA is filed under the name uncultured bacterium. RNAcentral describes it as "bacterial SSU rRNA". It matches the Rfam family "Bacterial small subunit ribosomal RNA", at positions 28 to 507 of the family's 1533-position model. The record is from RNAcentral.